Ictalurus furcatus (blue catfish) is the source of this 1427-nucleotide long non-coding RNA. RefSeq lists it as uncharacterized. Lineage: Eukaryota; Metazoa; Chordata; Actinopteri; Siluriformes; Ictaluridae. The record is from RefSeq and is a predicted model, not a curated record. The transcript is spliced from 2 exons.
AAGACGUUCGCGCAUAGUUACACACUAACACAUUACUAGUUACUAAGUGAAGCCCAUCAACUAAAAUGCGCCCUACAUGCAUAGGGGGUGAUAUAGCGGUUUGUGCGCCUCAUCGAGUGCGCUACGUAGACGACAGAGAGAGUAUUUGAGACGCGGCCCAGGUUGUUAAGGCUACUUACAGGAUACCGGAGCAGGAGGUGCAGACGAAGGAGCCGUUGGUCAUGUUCGCGUAGGUCGGGCCGCGCUGGUCGCAGUCAAAACACUUUCUGUUGGGUAGUAAACUCGUCAUUUCCCUCAGCAUCUUCAGGUGUUUCUCCUCCUGUUUUCGCUUCGCACUCGCCGCCAUGGCCGGAGCCGAAAGAGUUUUAUAUACGCGGAGGUGAAGAAAAAAACUUUUUAUUCCCCAAAUAAGGGAGCGAUUCAGAUAGAAAGAGAGAGGGAGAGGAGGACAGGAGCCGGAGUUCACUCCAAGGGUGUCACGGUGUUCACGGAACGGAGGAGAGAGAGAGUGAGAGAGUAGGCAAGACGCCGCGCUCUGCUCGCCAGAGGGCGCGCUCACUGCGCAUGCGCAAAGCUUGCACCGCCCCGCAACCUAAAAAGAGUUCCAUCCUGCAGAGAACCGAGUGACCUAAUUCACAAGAACCUCAGCAACCAUCAGGCGCAAUGCAUAGUGUUCUGUCGGAGCUGUAAAUAUAUAAAAAAUGAAAUGAAUUAAUUCCUGAACAAGUUAAUUCAUAUCACUUGAUAUGUGUAUGAUUGAGUCAUACGUGCAUACAUUCAUUUCCACAAGUGGGUUCAGACAAAAUAUAGUGGAGAAACCUACUACUACUACUACUACUACUACUACUACUAUUUACUACUACUACUACCCAAAAUACUGUACAUGGUGUCCCAAAAGUCUCCAUACUCCAGAAACGCUAUAAAAUGCUAAAAUAAAAUGAAAACAAAGCUUGUGUUUGUGUACAUUCUUCUUAUUAUAUUAUCAUUCACAGAAAACAACUCUCAUACUUGCAAAAAAAAGGUCAAUUUUAAUUUUCAGUGAAGGCUAAACACUUACAUAGAUGAAUAUACUGUACAAUAUAUUAUUACAGAACACACAUCACGAUUUGGAUGACUUGUUUAUCUGGAAUAUAAACCGUAUCACCUUAACAACUGAACGUACAGCACUAAAGCUGAUCCGUCUAUUGCUUUAAUCUCUUCGUCUUCAUAAUCCUUUUACAUAUAAAAAUCCUCAAAAAAAAAAAAAAUCAAUCAAUCUGUUCAGUUUGUCUAUUCGUAAACUCCAGCACAGGCCUGGUUCAUGUAUUUAUCUUCAAAAUAAACGGUAUGAUAACAAGGCAUUCUGGGAAGGGUGUCAUGUAUUAAGAGAUGAAAAUUUAGCUUGUAAAUUAAAUGGAUGCAUGAACCAAAUUCUAUCUGACGAUCCU